GAUGAACGCUGGCGGCGUGCCUAAUACAUGCAAGUCGAGCGAACGGACGAGAAGCUUGCUCCUCUGAUGUUAGCGGCGGACGGGUGAGUAACACGUGGAUAACCUACCUAUAAGACUGGGAUAACUUCGGGAAACCGGAGCUAAUACCGGAUGAUAUUUUGAACCGCAUGGUUCAAAAGUGAAAGACGGUUUUGCUGUCACUUAUAGAUGGAUACGCGCUGCAUUAGCUAGUUGGUAAGGUAACGGCUUACCAAGGCAACGAUGCGUAGCCGAUCUGAGAGGGUGAUCGGCCACACUGGAACUGAGACACGGUCCAGACUCCUACGGGAGGCAGCAGUAGGGAAUCUUCCGCAAUGGGCGAAAGCCUGACGGAGCAACGCCGCGUGAGUGAUGAAGGUCUUCGGAUCGUAAAGCUCUGUUAUUAGGGAAGAACAUAUGUGUAAGUAACUAUGCACGUCUUGACGGUACCUAAUCAGAAAGCCACGGCUAACUACGUG
Molecule: ribosomal RNA, 497 nt
Filed under: uncultured bacterium
Lineage: Bacteria
Description: partial 16S ribosomal RNA
Rfam family: Bacterial small subunit ribosomal RNA
Source: RNAcentral